AUUGGCAGCCAUAUCACCCUGCAGCCCAAGACUGGUCACCCACUGAAGCUAAGCAGGGUUGAGUCUGGUCAGUACCUGGAUGGGAGAAAACUAGGCUGCUGCUGUUA
Molecule: ribosomal RNA, 107 nt
Filed under: Sinocyclocheilus rhinocerous
Lineage: Eukaryota; Metazoa; Chordata; Actinopteri; Cypriniformes; Cyprinidae
Source: RNAcentral